GUACAGAAGAGGUCAAAAGAGGGGAAAUCCUCACUGAAUUAUCUACUGCCCGGAGUGCUGCACAUCUCUGGGAGUGUGUGCAGUGUGCCAAUGUUGAGUUGACCAAGUGACCAGCAGAAUGAUAUUCAAUGUGAGCACGCUGCCAGGUGUCAUUACAGUUUGCCAAUCAGUAGAGGAAAGCAGUCUCACAUGCCGCCAUCUGUUACCGGGACGCCCUUGCCAGCUCACCAAUGUGAAAGAAUGCAAACGUGCAAAAGGCUAAAAAGAGAUGCGCAUUACACAUUGAAUCCAAUUCAUUCUGAAGUAUGAAAAGGCCUCGGAUCACCAUUCAAAUCUGACAAGGCACAAGACAUCACAGUUGCAGAGGGUACAUUUUGACACUGACUCAUAUGCGAAGAACGGAUGGAUUUUAUUUUAACAUCUCACAACACUCUGGGCAUUGUGGUCACUGUGAAACAUAUUGUAAACAGCCGCCUCCUUCUCUCGCCAGCUCUGAGUCAUCCCGACUUCGACAUCACAGAGCGUGUUUUGAAACGCUGUACCGCCUCCCCCUCACGCCCCUCACCCCUCGCGUUGGACGGGGGCCGGAGGUCCUCUCAGUCAAAUCAAAAGCACUUCCCCCGGCGGUGUGGCGGAGCCCGCUGCCUCCGGAGCCACUCGUUGCGACAUGCGAGGGGGGGGAACUUGUGAUCUUUUGAAUUAUUCUGCACUUCAUUUCUAUCCCACCAUUCAAAACGCAACGUGAGAAUUGAUUGCCUCAAAGAUUCAUCUUUAUAAUCUCCCCGAGGCCCAUAAAUUAUCCAACUUUUGGGGCAGGGUGGACGAGCUGCGAAGGCAGAGCAGAGCCCCGUCCCCGCAGACUGCUGGGGGAGCCACACUGAAUGGGGCUGCUCUUUUCGCCGGCUGGAAGCGGGAGGGAAAAAAAAAGGUCAUUAGGCUGCCAAUCGGGGUAAUUAUGGAAAUGAUCUCCCCAGCUCUUUGGAAUGUUUUCCUGCUUCCAUAAGGACUUGAAAGUGUUCAAUCAGCCUCUCUCGUGGGAAAGUUCAGCCAUAACUGCAAGUGUACCAGCAAAAUCAAAUUAAGCAAAGAGAUUUCAUUAGUAUUUAUAGCCCUGAGGCAUUUGUAAAAGUAUGGAGCAGUGGAGUAAUGUGGGACUGUGGAGGGGAGAAUUAUUGCUUAAUGACAAAGGCCAUACCUAGAAGACAUACACAUGGAUAAUGAAUAGGGGGACAUGAUUGCAUCUUAAAGAGGAUUCUUGAGGGAAUGUAAAAUAUUGAUGCUUGUGUGGAUCUCUGUGGAUUCCCGGCAUGGGAGUGAGGGUGGUUACUUUGCUUGGGUGUUAACACUGUUUGGAUGAUAACUUUAUUAUCAAGACAUGUUUAAGAGCGUCUUUCAAAGUAUUAACAAACACCAAAUUAUUUUUGAAAAUCACUUAAAUUGUAUGAUAUGGUAAUGCAAGUUGGAUUAAUACAGCAACAACAUAACAUGCUGGAUUAACUUUACCCAGGAUCAGUCGGUUGAUUAGACCCUGUGAUGGUGUUAAUCAUUACAUCAUUUUGGGGUUAUUUAGUGUGAUAAUUAAUUGGAGGUAAUUGUUCUCAUAUUAAGAAUAUUUCAUACUGCAUACCUCUGUUCCAUUCAAAUUCAGUUGAAGAUAUUUUACUUUUAUGAUAUUUAUCUGAUUGCUAUAAUUACUUGAUGGGUC
Long non-coding RNA from Gasterosteus aculeatus aculeatus (three-spined stickleback), 1705 nucleotides. The record is from Ensembl. Lineage: Eukaryota; Metazoa; Chordata; Actinopteri; Perciformes; Gasterosteidae.